This is a non-coding RNA of Equus caballus (horse), 1406 nucleotides long. NCBI's taxonomy places the organism in Eukaryota, Metazoa, Chordata, Mammalia, Perissodactyla, Equidae. The record is from RefSeq and is a predicted model, not a curated record.
UCAGGGCUGGCCUGUUUGAUCUGGGGGAAGAAUAGAGACUCUGAAGUGGACCCCAUCAGGUGUGGUGGUACACACUGUGCAUAAAGUAUAUGAACUCCCUGGUCAUUCAUGUGCCCCCAAGUCACUCCUAAAGUGGCAAUGUGUCUAAAAAGGAGGGCACCUCCUCCAGAAUGUAUUACAUCAAUCAGAGAAGAGGGGAACACACUUCCUCUUGUAUGGGUGAUAUGCCAGAAGCGCCAUUUUUUAUUCUAUCCUGUAAGUACCCAUCUCUUCAAUGAGGAGCCCUCUGGUUAACAAGCCCAAGGGGUCCUAUAUUCAUGACCCAAGGCAAAAUGGGAAGCUGGCUGUGCAGGAUCAUCAACUCAGGCCUUGGGAGGGCCUCCAUUACAAAAGGCUGUUGUUGCCUUCUUGGCAUCUCUAACUGUGCGGCACUGGAUGAGGAGAAUGCUUUCUGGUAGAAGGAUGCCUUGGGCAAUUCAUGUCCACUGUGGGAGAUUUGGAGACUCUUAGAUGCAUAACAGGAGGCUGGCAAAGCCUUUUUAGGAAAGGGGUAUGUGGAGGGAGACGCUAAAGAAUUGACUUAUUUUGACAAAUUCUGGAGCUCAAGGUCAAUCACUUUAAGUAUUGUUGAAUAAGAAAGCAGAUCUGAUAUAUAUGGAAUGUUCCUGGUUGCUGUGGCUGAUGGAAUGUGCCCAUGACAAGGGUUCUACCACUGCUCCUGUGACCCUCUCAGCUCACAGGCCCCUGGCAUUGUCUCAUGGAAAUUUUCCACAGUGGUCCAUGGAUUUCUAAAUUUCCGAUAGCAGGCACAAGUAUGCUUGAGUUGGGAAAUGAAGAGCUGGAAAUGGUCUAUGGACAAUAAUGGAAAGACAAUGCUGAUGACAUGAAUGAGGAUGUCCCCAGACAGAUGGCACCUAAGAGACACAUUUUGUUUCAUAACUACAGUAUUUCUACAGAUGUGCCCACAGAACCUGAUUUAAACUCAAAGAGUCUGAGGCCCCCUCACUUCACUGCUGUUAUGAGUAUGAGCUGAGGGCAGGUGCAGCCCUAGGGGGUGUUUCCUCAAUUAAGACAGGGUUGCAAGAAAGGCCUGUUGAAGACUAAAUUCUUCUUUUUAACACUUCAAUUCUUCCAAAGAAGGAUCCCACAGGCUAGAAAGAAGUGUUGAAUGCAUAAAAAUCAAGGUACAUGAGCGUUUAAUAUCCUCCUAACAUAUGAAGGGAGAUCACAGUGGACUUGCACAGAUGUCAGUCUACUCAGAGAAUACACUCGGGAUGAGCUAGAACAGUGCAGAUGAAGGCACUGUCUCUCUAAAUGGGAGGAACUCCAUGGUUUACUGGGGCAUACGUUGCACACUCAGUCUAUACAGCAGGAACAUGAAAAUGCUAAAGACAACAACUUUUAAA